Molecule: ribosomal RNA, 612 nt
Filed under: Meyerozyma guilliermondii
Lineage: Eukaryota; Fungi; Ascomycota; Pichiomycetes; Serinales; Debaryomycetaceae
Description: eukaryotic LSU rRNA
Rfam family: Eukaryotic large subunit ribosomal RNA
Source: RNAcentral
UGCAUAUCAAAAGCGGAGGAAAAGAAACCAACAGGGAUUGCCUUAGUAGCGGCGAGUGAAGCGGCAAAAGCUCAAAUUUGAAAUCUGGCACCUUCGGUGUCCGAGUUGUAAUUUGAAGAUUGUAACCUUGGGGUUGGCUCUUGUCUAUGUUUCUUGGAACAGGACGUCACAGAGGGUGAGAAUCCCGUGCGAUGAGAUGCCCAAUCCUAUGUAAGGUGCUUUCGAAGAGUCGAGUUGUUUGGGAAUGCAGCUCUAAGUGGGUGGUAAAUUCCAUCUAAAGCUAAAUAUUGGCGAGAGACCGAUAGCGAACAAGUACAGUGAUGGAAAGAUGAAAAGAACUUUGAAAAGAGAGUGAAAAAGUACGUGAAAUUGUUGAAAGGGAAGGGUUUGAGAUCAGACUCGAUAUUUUGUGAGCCUUGCCUUCGUGGCGGGGUGACCCGCAGCUUAUCGGGCCAGCAUCGGUUUGGGCGGUAGGAUAAUGGCGUAGGAAUGUGACUUUGCUUCGGUGAAGUGUUAUAGCCUGCGUUGAUGCUGCCUGCCUAGACCGAGGACUGCGAUUUUAUCAAGGAUGCUGGCAUAAUGAUCCCAAACCGCCCGUCUUGAAACACGGAC